This is a long non-coding RNA of Dunckerocampus dactyliophorus (ringed pipefish), 2388 nucleotides long. RefSeq lists it as uncharacterized. Lineage: Eukaryota; Metazoa; Chordata; Actinopteri; Syngnathiformes; Syngnathidae. The transcript is spliced from 2 exons. The record is from RefSeq and is a predicted model, not a curated record.
GCUGAUGCUGAAGCAGCACGUUGGCGUUGGAGUGAGCAGAAAGAUGCUGUACCACUGACAGUCAUCAAUUCGCUGUUGGGCAGCUUCAGACUCAUCGGGGUCAACGAUUUCGAAAGGUGGAACAAGAUGGAACAACACAUUUGUUUUCCGCAUGACUAAUGGAAUAUUCAUGUGUUUGACCAAGCUGAGAUACCAACAUCUCAUCAUUGCACAAAUAAUGUCACCAGUCAUGUGGUCAACUCUUUUCUCAGGUGUUUGUAACCAUUGUUGCGCCAUGCUUUCCCACCUUUGCAUGUUUAUUAUUUGCGUGUUAGGGUUGUGAACGAUAAACCGAUGCUACCGGAUAUCCGGACAACCAAGAGAUAUGGCUGCAUCGUUAGCAGCCUCCUGGAUCGAUGAGAAUCAGCCAUAAAUCCUUAGAUUAAUCAAUUGUAGAGACAUGCACCAAGUAUCACAACACUAGCAACCGAUUUGUUUUUAACAACACCAGAGCCUGGGCUGCCGCUUCGUCGCUUACUGUGACUGAAGGCGAGAAUGGAUGUAAAUAGUAGCAACACGCUAGCUAGUCACUGGGAAAGAUUUUCAACACGUCAGCAAAACAUACGUACAUGACAGCAAUCUAAUUUAUCUUCGUUAUUAUGUAUUGUGUAAAACUAAGACAGGAACAACAUCAAAUUAAAAGCACUAAAUGAAUACAGACCCACCAUCCACCAGUAUGAGCCUGGAGUUUGUUUUUCAGAGAGGUGCACCACACAAAUGUGCACAUUAGCAUGCAAUAAUGUCACCAAAUCUUACCUUUAUGCAUUCCCAAUAGUAUCCGCAUUUGGGACCCAAUAUGAAGUGAAAGGGAAAAACAGGGAAAAAAAACAUUAUAGUAGUCUUAUCUGUGCAACAGGAGAAAGUCAGAUGGUGCGUUCAAGGACCGUUGAACAACGUGGGACACGUCACCGUUCGCAACACUUGCAAACUCUGGGAUUUGUAACUAUAUUAUUUUUUGAAUAAAAUAAUGGGCAAAAUUUCCUAAAUUCAUAUCAAUUUAUAUCAAAUUUGAUCAAGUUAUUUAUAAUGAUUUUAUUUUUUUAAGUGUUUUAUCAUUGCGCCUGAAAGUUUCCUGCGGCUCUGUGGUUGAGUGCCCCCGUCUUACAGCACGCUUGGGGGAUCUGAUGUGGUCUUGUACACAUUUGAAAGUACUGCAAGAAUGACACUUUUAUACAGAUGGCUUCUUUAUUUUAUAAUGUAAGACUAACGUCUCAGUCACCAAAUAGAAUAGUAUCGAAUCAAAUCGGUUUUAAACUAUAGCUUCUUAUUGUAUCUUAACCUGAGGAUCUACAGUAGAUGCGUGUCAAAUAUUCUUUGACAUCCCGAGGUGCAGGUUUUCGUGACGUCACUUCCUUCAUUGUGUGCGUGCUUGUGCAGGUGGAGACAGAAGCAUCUGUGAGGUAAUCAGCUGCAGGACACACGAGACCAAAUUCUUUCAGCAUCAUGAUAAUUUUGUUAAGAAAAAAAGCCAUGGACAUUUAAUUGACAUUCUUCACAUUUGUCCCAAUACUUUCUGGACAAUAUACGAUGCUCUAAAUGGCCAUAAUGAGCAUUUGCUACAACCUCUCUGCGGUCUCACUGAAUAAACACACAACAUUUAUCGUUAUUUAAUUUUUACUUAAAGAAUAUCCCCAAUAUAGUAAUGCACAUUUUUAUUAUAUGACACUUUUUUUUUCAAAACAAGCAUUGUACUGAUUGGCUGAACAAACGCAAUGUUUUGUAACUUGACUAUUAUCACUACUAUAGAUAUAUUUAGUAAAAAAAAAACAACCCACUUUAUUUAUAAGUUUUUUUCUACCGUUAUAUCAACAUAAUAAUGUUCAAAUAUGUAUACUAUUUUUAUUUACUUUUAUAUUUAUUUAUGUUCCCAUUUUGAUAUAUACUGUAUUAUUGUUAGAAUUAAGAUAUGAAGAAAAUGCAUUUUAUUGUAUUACAUUACAGUAUGUAUAAUUAUAUAACACAGCUAUUACUAUUAUUAUUAUUAGUAGUAGUAGUAGUAGUAUUGGUAGAUUGAAGACAAAAAGCGAAUGGCCACAAUGAAGCAUAGAUUGCAAUUUAUAUUCUAGGAUCUACUGCAAUGUCAAUCUCGUAGGUGAAGUUUGUGUCCACACGGAGGCGCAGUUCCGUCCAGAGCAUAAAUAGCCAUCAACUGGAUUGUUCUCAGCCUGCAGCUUUACAUGACUGCCCCCCAGUGGCCAAGCAGCAGAGUGAGCAGGGAGCCGAUAACAACGAUGAUGCUGUUGUAGAUGGGUCCACUUGAGGCUCCAGUGUAGUACUCCAUAUCUCCAGAGCCCUCUGCCUCAUACGCAGAUCUGGAGCCGUACACUCCACCAUGUCUCGGGUAGCCGU